AGGAACCUGCCUUCCAGAGGGGGACAACAGUUGGAAACGACUGCUAAUACCGCAUGAUGCAUUGAAGUCGCAUGGCUUUGAUGUCAAAGAUUUAUCGCUGGAAGAUGGCCUCGCGUCUGAUUAGCUAGUUGGUGAGGUAACGGCCCACCAAGGCGACGAUCAGUAGCCGGACUGAGAGGUUGGCCGGCCACAUUGGGACUGAGAUACGGCCCAGACUCCUACGGGAGGCAGCAG
Molecule: ribosomal RNA, 234 nt
Filed under: uncultured bacterium
Lineage: Bacteria
Description: partial 16S ribosomal RNA
Rfam family: Bacterial small subunit ribosomal RNA
Source: RNAcentral